GCCCACCUGUCCUGCAGCACUGGAUGCUUUGUGAGUUGGGGAUUGUUGCGUUCCAUAGCUGGACCCAGAAGGGACUUCCCUGCUCGGGAAACUGGCUCUCAGUUUCUCUGCUUUCCUCCGGAAAAAUAACGGCGUCUUCCGCGCCGCGCAUGGAGUCUCCCGGCCGCCGCGAGUGUCCCUUUCCUUCCUGGCGCUUUCCUGGGUUGCUUCUGGCGGCCAUGGUGUUGCUGCUGUCCUCCUUCUCCGAUGCCUGUGAGGAGCCACCAACAUUUGAAGCUAUGGAGCUCAUUGGUAAACCAAAACCCUACUAUGAGAUUGGUGAACGAGUAGAUUAUAAGUGUAAAAAAGGAUACUUCUAUAUACCACCUCUUGCCACCCAUACUAUUUGUGAUCGGAAUCAUACAUGGCUACCUGUCUCAGAUGACGCCUGUUAUAGAGAAACAUGUCCAUAUAUACGGGAUCCUUUAAAUGGCCAAGCAAUCCCUGCAAAUGGGACUUACGAGUUUGGUUAUCAGAUGCACUUUAUUUGUAAUGAGGGUUAUUACUUAAUUGGUGAAGAAAUUCUAUAUUGUGAACUUAAAGGAUCAGUAGCAGUUUGGAGCGGUAAGCCCCCAAUAUGUGAAAGUAAGUAAAUUCUUUUUCUUUAAAUUUAGACCAGUAGUCCUCAAAGAUUUUUGCCUCCUUUACACCCUUUACACUUUAAGAUUAACAAAGAUCCCAAAGAGAUUUCUUUUAUGUGGGUUAUAUCUAUUGGUAUUUAUCAUAUUGGAAUUCAAACGGAGAGGUUUUUAAAUAAUUAUUGAUUCUUUUUGGUUUUGUUUAUGUUUUUCCUAAGACACGGUCUCAGGCUAUUUCCCAGGCUGAGGUGCAGUGGCACAAUCUCAGCUCACUGCAGCCUCAGCCUCUCCAGUAGCUGGGGCUUCAGGCAUGUGGCACUAUGCCUGGCUUUUUGUAAUUUUUGAAGAGACGGGGUUUUGCCACGAUGCCCAGGCUGGUCUUGAAAUCCCAUGCUCAAGCAGUCUGCUCCCGUGGGCCUCCCAAGUGCUGGGAUUACAAAUGUGAGCCACCCCACCUGGCCUGAUUAAUUUGUAAGAAUAAAUGCAAUACAAAUUAACAUAUGUAACAUAAUUUUUAUGAAAAAUAAUAAUUUUCCAAAUCAAAAUAAAAUUAGUGAGAAUAGUGGCAUUGUUCACAUUUUUUGCACAUCUCUUCAACAUCUGGCUUAAAGCAAGAUUGUAUUAGGCCUGUUGUGUUAUCACACAAUAUGUAGCCUUUGGAAAAAUAUCACUAUAUUCUUAUUAGGAUCAGAGUGAAAAAAGACAAUAAUAUUUUGGUGGUAUUGUGAAUCACCAAUUUAGAAAAUGGAUAUAUUUAUAAAUUGCAAAGGAUUUCUUAACUAGCACUGAGUUAAGCAUAUUUUCUCAUUAAUUGUCAGCAUUUCUUGUGAUGACUAGAACAGAACUUAGCACGGCCUUGCAAACAAAUAUAGGCGUAUUAGGCCGUUUUCGUAUUGCUGUAAAGAAAUACCCGAGACUGGGUAAUUUAUAAAGAAAAGAAGUUUAAUUUGCUCAUGUUUCUACAAGCUGUACAGGAAGCAUGGUGCUGGCAUCUGCUGGGGGUUUGGGUAGGCCUCGGGAAACUUAACAAUCAUUGGGGAAGACAGAAGGAGAGCAAGGUGUCUCACAUGGCAGGAGCAGGAGCAAGGUGGGGAGGACGGGAGGUGUUGCACACUUUUAAAUAACCAGAUCUCCCAAGAACUCAGUAUCAUGAGAACAGCACCAAGGGGAUGGUGCUAAACCAUUCAUGAGAAAUCCACCCCCAUGAUUCAAACACCUACCACCAGGCCCCACCUCCAACAUUGUGGACUACAAUUUGACAUGAGAUUUGGUGGGGACAGAGAUCCAAACCAUAUCAAUAGGUAUUUACACUUUAAGAAAAUGAGAUUUGUUCUGAAAGUUAGUUACUACAUUAAUGGUUUGAAUUUGGGAUGAUAUAUUUGCUCAUAGAAACCUUCUUUUAAAUCCAUAUUGAAUUCACAACCAGCUUGUAGAAACCCUAUAUUGACAAAUUUAUUGAAGACAUAGAAAUUUUACUAAUGCUGUCUUAAUCUUUUACAUUUCCUUUCCUCUUUUUCUUCAUUUUUAAGAGGUUUUGUGUACACCACCUCCAAAAAUAAAAAAUGGAAAACACACCUUUAGUGAAGUAGAAGUAUUUGAGUAUCUUGAUGCAGUAACUUAUAGUUGUGAUCCUGCACCUGGACCAGAUCCAUUUUCACUUAUUGGAGAGAGCACGAUUUAUUGUGGUGACAAUUCAGUAUGGAGUCGUGCUGCUCCAGAGUGUAAAGUGGUCAAAUGUCGAUUUCCAGUAGUCGAAAAUGGAAAACAGAUAUCAGGAUUUGGAAAAAAAUUUUACUACAAAGCAACAGUGAUGUUUGAAUGUGAUAAGGGUUUUUACCUCGAUGGCAGCGACACAAUUGUCUGUGACAGUAACAGUACUUGGGUUCCCCCAGUUCCAAAGUGUCUUAAAGGUACAAAGGUUAUCUUUUUUCUGUCUUGGUUUGUUAUUGUUGUUGCUGUUCAUUUUAGACUUUAUUUCUUUGAUAUUAACUAUCAGUCAUACAGAAUAACUGAAAAGAAACAAUUUUAGUAUUUAACUCUGUCUUGUAUUCAUUUCUAUGCCAGAUGAAUGACACGAAAUUCACAUAAAAUUCUGCUGUUGUGAUUUUUUGUGCUUUUCCAGGGUUCUUAGCACGUUAUGUACAUUGCAUGGGUAUAUGCUUUUAAUAUUUUUAUGUAUAAAAUGAAUUACAACAACUUUUUGGAAUUGAAACAUGGGCAUUUUUAUCUAAGUAAGUCAACAAUGGCAUAAUUCAUAUAAAUGAAAUGAGAGCAAUAACUCCCAAGUGGUUGAUCUUCUAACAUUAUUUUGUUUCCUAGUGCUGCCUCCGUCUAGUACAAAACCUCCAGCUUUGAGUCAUUCAGGUUUAGUAGCUUCUUCCUUAUAUGUCUCAAAAAUCUUGUAAAUUCCUGGAGAAAAUGCCAGCAAUAACUCCCAAGUGUUUGGUCCAAUCUACAUUAUUAUUUUGUUUUCCAGUGUCGACUUCUUCCACUACAAAAUCUCCAGCGUCCAGUGCCUCAGGUUUAGUAAUUUCCUGCUUAUAUUUUUUCAAAAAUCCUUUAAAUUCCUGGUGAUUUUUAAAAAAAUCCUUCAAAUUUCUGGUGAUGUUCACUUAUUUUUAGUAAUGAAAGGAGGGAGGACAUUUGUAUAGCCAUUUUAGUUGUUAUACAUAGUGAUUCUAAAAUUAUUUGCCAUAAUCUGAUAUAAACAGGAAUAUGACCUUGGGAAAGUUGUAUAAAUUUUGAAUGUGUUUAUAUAUAUAUGUUUACAUUAUAUAUAGAGAAAUUGAUUUAGUACCUUCCUUAUUGGGUAUUAGUAAGGUAUAAGUGGGAUGCAUUUAAAGCACUUAGCACAGUGCCUGGUGUAGAGAAAGCUCUUAGAGCUAGCUAAUAUGACUUAUCCUACACUUAAAUUAAUGUUAGGGAAGGGGAAGGUUCAUGUAUGUUUGUUAGUAUGUGUGUGUGUUAAUAUGUUAAUAUGUUUGUUUGUUAAUAUGUAUGUUUUGUGUCAUCAACUUUGCUAUUUUAUUCUUUUCAGAAGUGAUCUGUUGACACCUUUACUGAGUUUGUUCCUAUUGCAGGACUCUUUCAUUUUCUGGAAUGCAACUAGUUUGAGUCUUCUGAUGUAAAACAUUUAAACAGGGAAAUUUCUGCUGUCCUCAGAACAAGAUCUGUAUUUCUGCCUCUUCCCUACCCACCCCUCUUCCACACCUCAUAAUGUUAUUUAUUUUUUUUCUCUUUAGUGGGCAGUUUUAUCUGGCAAUAGCAACUCAAUUUUAUAGCAACUGAAAGGCAGGAAAAGUCCUUAUUUACUGAAAUAAAAUAGAAGACUUUUGCAGGGACUCCUGGUCAACCACUGUGCUUAUGACUGGAGAGAUUAUUUUGAUAUGACGGAAGGAAUUAUCCUGAUUUCAGCACUACCAUCUCUGGUUUCACUUUGCUUCCAGCAGAAGCAAGAGACAAUAGUAAUUGUGGGUAGCACUUCAGUCUGGGCAGACUGUGCUUAGUUGACAUCAUUUCUGUGGUCUUCAGUUUCCCUUUAGUAUAAUGUGAGUGUUGAACUGAAAUCUCAAUCACUGGCUUCUAAUUUGGUUAUAUAUUUCCUAUCUCCCUAAUAUUUUAAAGGAUCGAAGAGAAUUAUGCAUGUUAACAUAGUAAUUAAGAUACCUUCUUAUAGGCUGGGUGGGGUAGCUCACACCUAUAAUACCAGAACUUUGGGAGGCCGAGGUGGGUGGAUCACGAGGUCAGAAGUUCAAGACCAGCCUGGCUAAGUUGGUGAAACCCCAUCUCUACUAAAAAUACAAAAAUUAGCGGGGUGCGGUGGCAGGCACUUGUAAUCCCAGCUGCUCGGGAGGCCGAGGCAGGAGAAUCGCUUGAACCCAGUGGGCAGAGGUUGCAGUGAGCCAAGAUCAUGCCACUGCACUCCAGCCUGGGUGACAGAGUGAGACUCUGUCUCAAAAAAAAAACAAAAACAAAAACCUUCUCAUGAUUCCUGUAAGAGCUUGGUAACUGGUAGCCUCCUGAGUUGAGUGCUGUAGGGUUUGAGGGGCAGGAAGAGAUGAGUUUUUUAGUGGACUGAUACAUGAGCAAAACAAGAUUGCAUGUGAAAUUUAUACUCAGUGAGGCAUCCAGGCUUAACUCACAUGCUCCUAGUGGGUAUUUGCACUAAUACUACGUUUGUUGAUACAGUCUUUUGAAAGAGUUGAUGAUAAGCAUUUCAUAAAGUAUUUAUAAAACACUGGUAUAGCUUAGUGUUGGAGAGCAGAAGAGAGAAUUGCUUGGGAUUGUCAAUGAUUUCUUAUCAUCUGCUAGAGGAAGACUAAAUAACAACAUCAUGAUGUUAAGGUAGAUCUAAAUGUGUUAACAAGAAGAAAUGUUGAGGAAGUCCUAAGUGGAAAAGAGAAAGAUGUAAAUAUGUAGUAUCAUACUACUUACAGUUUUUAAAAAGAUACAUAUGUUUACCCCAAGCACAUUCCUUUUUUUUUUUUUUUGAGACAGAGUCUUGCUCUGUCACCCAGGAUGGUGUGCAGUGGCGCGGUCUUGGCUCACUGCAACCUCCGCCUCCCGGGUUCAAGCGGUUCUCCUGCCACCUCAGACUCCCAAGUAGCUGGUAUUACAGGCACCCACCACUAUGCCGGCUAGUUUUUUGUAUUUUUAGUAGAGACGGGGUUUCUCCAUGAUGGCCUGGCUAGUCUCGAACUCCUGACCUCAAGUGAUUCACCUGCCUCAGCCUCCCACAGUGCUGGGAUUACAGGCGUGAGCCACCACACCCAUCCUCACAUUACUUUCAUGAUGGUUAUCUUCUAAGAUUUCCAUUAUAAAAUACAGAGUGUGGUGAGCAUUCUUGUACAUACAUCUUACAUACUUGUGCAAAUAUAUAUGUAGGUUAAAUUCUAAGAUGUGGAAUUGCAAAGUUUGUAAAGUAUGUGUAGUUUUCAUUUGAUAAACUUAAAAAAUCAAUAUCAAAAUUAAAGUCAUAAUUUUAUAUUGAUAAGGCCCUGGUGAAUUUAUAAAAUCAAACUUAUUUUUCUAGGUCCUAGGCCUACUUACAAGCCUCCAGUCUCAAAUUAUCCAGGAUAUCCUAAACCUGAGGAAGGAAUACUUGACAGUUUGGAUGUUUGGGUCAUUGCUGUGAUUGUUAUUGCCAUAGUUGUUGGAGUUGCAGUAAUUUGUGUUGUCCCGUACAGAUAUCUUCAAAGGAGGAAGAAGAAAGGGAAAGCAGAUGGUGGAGCUGAAUAUGCCACUUACCAGACUAAAUCAACCACUCCAGCAGAGCAGAGAGGCUGAAUGGAUUCCACAGCCUGGUUUGCCAGUUCAUCUUUUGACUCUAUUAAAGUCUUCAAUAGUUGUUAUUCUGUAGUUUCACUCUCAUGAGUGCAACUGUGGCUUAGCUAAUAUUGCAAUGUGGCUUGAAUGUAGGUAGCAUCCUUUGAUGCUUCUUUGAAACUUGUAUGAAUUUGGGUAUGAACAGAUUGCCUGUUUUCCCUUAAAUAACACUUAGAUUUAUUGGACCAGUCAGCACAGCAUGCCUGGUUGUAUUAAAGCAGGGAUAUGCUGUAUUUUAUAAAAUUGGCAAAAUUAGAGAAAUAUAGUUCACAAUGAAAUUAUAUUUUCUUUGUAAAGAAAGUGGCUUGAAAUCUUUUUUGUUCAAAGAUUAAUGCCAACUCUUAAGAUUAUUCUUUCACCAACUAUAGAAUGUAUUUUGUAUAUCGUUCAUUGUAAAAAGCCCUUAAAAAUAUGUGUAUACUACUUUGGCUCUUGUGCAUAAAAACAAGAACACUGAAAACUGGGAAUAUGCACAAACUUGGCUUCUUUAACCAAGAAUAUUAUUGGAAAAUUCUCUAAAAGUUAAUAGGGUAAAUUCUCUAUUUUUUGUAAUGUGUUCGGUGAUUUCAGAAAGCUAGAAAGUGUAUGUGUGGCAUUUGUUUUCACUUUUUAAAGCAUCCCUAAAUGAUCGAAUAUAUCAGUAAUUUCAGAAUCAGAUGCAUCCUUUCAUAAGAAGUGAGAGGACUCUGACAGCCAUAACAGGAGUGCCACUUCAUGGUGCGAAGUGAACACUGUAGUCUUGUCGUUUUCCCAAAGAGAACUCCGUAUGUUCUCUUAGGUUGAGUAACCCACUCUGAAUUCUGGUUACAUGUGUUUUUCUCUCCCUCCUUAAAUAAAGAGAGGGGUUAAACAUGCCCUCUAAAAGUAGGUGGUUUUGAAGAGAAUAAAUUCAUCAGAUAACCUCAAGUCACAUGAGAAUCUUAGUCCAUUUACAUUGCCUUGGCUAGUAAAAGCCUCUUAUCUAUGUAUGUGUCUUACCUCAUCUCCUAAAAGGCAGAGUACAAAGUAAGCCAUGUAUCUCAGGAAGGUAACUUCAUUUUGUCUAUUUGCUGUUGAUUGUACCAAGGGAUGGAAGAAGUAAAUACAGCUCAGGUAGCACUUUAUACUCAGGCAGAUCUCAGCCCUCUACUGAGUCCCUUAGCCAAGCAGUUUCUUUCAAAGAAGCCAGCAGGCGAAAAGCAGGGACUGCCACUGCAAUUCAAAUCACACUGUUAAAAGUUGUGUUUUGAAAUUUUAUGUUUAGUUGCACAAAUUGGGCCAAAGAAACAUUGCCUUGAGGAAGAUACGAUUGGAAAAUCAAGAGUGUAGAAGAAUAAAUACUGUUUUACUGUCCAAAGACAUGUUUAUAGUGCUCUGUAAAUGUUCCUUUCCUUUGUAGUCUCUGGCAAGAUGCUUUAGGAAGAUAAAAGUUUGAGGAGAACAAACAGGAAUUCUGAAUUAAGCACAGAGUUGAAGUUUAUGCCCAUUUCACAUGCUUUUCAAGAAUGUUGCAAUUACUAAGAAGCAGAUAAUGGUGUUUUUUAGAAACCUAAUUGAAGUAUAUUCAACCAAAUACUUUAAUGUAUAAAAUAAAUAUUAUACAAUAUACUUGUAUAGCAGUUUCUGCUUCACAUUUGAUUUUUUCAAAUUUAAUAUUUAUGUUAGAGAUCUAUAUAUGUAUAAAUAUGUAUUUUGUCAAAUUUGUUACUUAAAUAUAUAGAGACCAGUUUUCUCUGGAAGUUUGUUUAAAUGACAGAAGCGUAUAUGAAUUCAAGAAAAUUUAAGCUGCAAAAAUGUAUUUGCUAUAAAAUGAGAAGUCUCACUGAUAGAGGUUCUUUAUUGCUCAUUUUUUUAAAAAUGGACUCUUGAAAUCUGUUAAAAUAAAAUUGUACAUUUGGAGAUGUUUCA
RNAcentral lists this small RNA (7829 nucleotides) under Pan troglodytes (chimpanzee). RNAcentral's name for it is "processed transcript". The record is from RNAcentral. Lineage: Eukaryota; Metazoa; Chordata; Mammalia; Primates; Hominidae.